RNAcentral lists this transfer-messenger RNA (363 nucleotides) under Escherichia coli. It matches the Rfam family "transfer-messenger RNA". From Rfam's summary of the family: Bacterial tmRNA, also known as 10Sa RNA or SsrA, is named for its dual tRNA and mRNA-like properties. Its role is to liberate the mRNA from a stalled ribosome. To accomplish this part of the tmRNA is used as a reading frame that ends in a translation stop signal. Lineage: Bacteria; Pseudomonadati; Pseudomonadota; Gammaproteobacteria; Enterobacterales; Enterobacteriaceae. The record is from RNAcentral.
GGGGCUGAUUCUGGAUUCGACGGGAUUUGCGAAACCCAAGGUGCAUGCCGAGGGGCGGUUGGCCUCGUAAAAAGCCGCAAAAAAUAGUCGCAAACGACGAAAACUACGCUUUAGCAGCUUAAUAACCUGCUUAGAGCCCUCUCUCCCUAGCCUCCUCUCUUAGGACGGGGAUCAAGAGAGGUCAAACCCAAAAGAGAUCGCGUGGAAGCCCUGCCUGGGGUUGAAGCGUUAAAACUUAAUCAGGCUAGUUUGUUAGUGGCGUGUCCGUCCGCAGCUGGCAAGCGAAUGUAAAGACUGACUAAGCAUGUAGUACCGAGGAUGUAGGAAUUUCGGACGCGGGUUCAACUCCCGCCAGCUCCACCA